Molecule: long non-coding RNA, 1004 nt
Filed under: Triticum aestivum (bread wheat)
Lineage: Eukaryota; Viridiplantae; Streptophyta; Magnoliopsida; Poales; Poaceae
Description: long non-coding RNA (TAES_LNC021132)
Source: RNAcentral
UCGUGUUCAUUUUGGAGUUUGUUCAUCUGACCAGUUUAAAUGUAGACGAUUAGACAUUUUUGGUUAGCAUGCAAACAACCGUAGUACUUAAUUACCUAAAUUCCAUACAUUUAAGUGGGAUUCUUCUAUGGUUUUCAACCCCUCCUUUCACAAAUCCAUUCUCCCCACCCCACCUUUCUCCUACAGAGGUCGUUCUCCUGUUUUAUUACUACUUCGUCGCACAAUGUUAAGGAUGCUAUGGGUACACGAAUAACAUAUCCAAAAAAACAUGAUCUUGAAGACACUUAGCAUAGGAGUAGAUUAGGGCAUCUAGUGCUCUGUUCAUCAUACUACUGACCAUACUUAGCAUAGAAAGUUCUAAAACUUCCAAACUUAACUCAUCAGAAUCACAGACAGAUUACCACAGGUCAGGUCUGAAGGACAGGCUAAACAACAUGAUAUGCAAGACCAGCUCCUUGCAAGACAGAUUACCACAGGUCAGGUCUGAAGGACAGGCUAAAACUUCCAAACUUAACUCAUCAGAAUCACAGACAGAUUACCACAGGUCAGGUCUGAAGGGCAGGCUAAACAACAUGAUAUGCAAAGCUCCUUGGCUUCCAGACUUAACAGUCAUCAGAAUCACAGACAGAUUACCACAGGUCAGGUCUGAAGGACACGCUAAAACAUGGACGAGCUACUUGGCCUGAAGACUGAUGCUGGAGACCUCCUUACCUGAAGAACGAGCAUACUUGAGCUUUAUCUUCAAAUGAUUAACAAUACAGCAAAAUGGGAUUAGCCUAAAGCAAUACCUGAACCCUAUGGCUGGAGAGCAGAAAUGCGCAUUCUAAUGUGCAAAUGGCCUUUAAUGACAAAAAUACAGUUGGGGUCCAUCAAUUCAUCCCAUUGGGUCAGAUACAGAUCAUUUACUCCAAAGGGGAUGCCUGUUGUAAAUGUGUGUUCAAACGAGAUACAGUCAACAUACGCCCCAUUUGGUCGUGUGUCCUCACAGAGAAUGUGACACUCAG